RNAcentral lists this transfer RNA (89 nucleotides) under Desulfosarcina alkanivorans. Its description in RNAcentral is "tRNA-Arg". The record is from RNAcentral. Lineage: Bacteria; Pseudomonadati; Thermodesulfobacteriota; Desulfobacteria; Desulfobacterales; Desulfosarcinaceae.
GUAGAAACAACUUGUGAGUUUAUUUUGAAAGUUGUAUCGCCGGACUUCGAAUCCGUAGGCCGCCCGUUCGAAUCGGGCCGGGCGUACCA